AGAACGAACGCUGGCGGCAGGCUUAACACAUGCAAGUCGAACGGGCGUAGCAAUACGUCAGUGGCGCACGGGUGAGUAACGCGUGGGCAACCUACCUGGUGGUACGGAAUAACUGCGGGAAACUGCAGCUAAUACCGUAUGUCCCCUAUGGGGGAAAGAUUUAUCGCCAUCAGAUGGGCCCGCGUAGGAUUAGCUAGUUGGUGAGGUAACGGCUCACCAAGGCUUCGAUCCUUAGCUGGUCUGAGAGGAUGAUCAGCCACACUGGGACUGAGACACGGCCCAGACUCCUACGGGAGGCAGCAGUGGGGAAUAUUGGACAAUGGGCGCAAGCCUGAUCCAGCCAUGCCGCGUGAGUGAUGAAGGCCUUCGGGUUAGUAAAGCUCUUUUGGCGGGGACGAGUGAUGACGGUACCCGCAGAAUAACGCCCGGCUAACUUCGUGCCAGCAGCCGC
Molecule: ribosomal RNA, 451 nt
Filed under: uncultured bacterium
Lineage: Bacteria
Description: SSU rRNA
Rfam family: Bacterial small subunit ribosomal RNA
Source: RNAcentral